CCGCCUGGGUACUACAAGCAGCAGCUUAAAACCCAAAGGACUUGGCGGUGCUUUACACCCACCUAGAGGAGCCUGUCCUAAAACCGAUAACCCCCGUUAAACCUCACCUCCCCUUGUUUUUACCGCCUGUAUACCGCCGUCGUCAGCUUACCUUGUGAAAGAAUAAUAGUAAGCAGAAUUGUUAAUACCCAAAACGUCGGGUCGAGGUGCAGCAAAUGGGAAAGAAAGAGAUGGGCUACCUUCAUCAGAUGAUGAAAACGAAUGAUUAUUUGAAAAUUAGUCUGAAGGAGGAUUUAGCAGUAAAUAGGGAAUAAACAGCCC
Molecule: ribosomal RNA, 321 nt
Filed under: Urocampus carinirostris
Lineage: Eukaryota; Metazoa; Chordata; Actinopteri; Syngnathiformes; Syngnathidae
Description: partial 12S ribosomal RNA
Rfam family: Bacterial small subunit ribosomal RNA
Source: RNAcentral